GGCUGGUCCGAGUGCAGUGGUGUUUAUAGCUACUUGAUCAUAACCAGUUACAGAUUUCUUUGUUCCUUCUUCAUGUCCACUGCUUCACCUGACUAGCCUUAA
Molecule: Y RNA, 102 nt
Organism: Callithrix jacchus (white-tufted-ear marmoset)
Lineage: Eukaryota; Metazoa; Chordata; Mammalia; Primates; Cebidae
Rfam family: Y RNA
About the family: Y RNAs are components of the Ro ribonucleoprotein particle (Ro RNP), in association with Ro60 and La proteins. The Y RNAs and Ro60 and La proteins are well conserved, but the function of the Ro RNP is not known.
Source: Ensembl